UACCUGCUUUUCACUUUGCCAAUUGGACUCAUGUCUUUAUUGGUCAUUCAAGUGGGGCAAAGGAAAUAUCCUUUUAAAACCCAGGCUCCUGUCGGAGGAAACAAAU
Molecule: small nucleolar RNA, 106 nt
Organism: Choloepus didactylus (southern two-toed sloth)
Lineage: Eukaryota; Metazoa; Chordata; Mammalia; Pilosa; Megalonychidae
Product: small nucleolar RNA SNORA27
Exons: 1
Source: RefSeq, a predicted model, not a curated record